UACGUAGGGUGCAAGCGUUAAUCGGAAUUACUGGGCGUAAAGCGUGCGCAGGCGGUUUUGUAAGUCUGUCGUGAAAUCCCCGGGCUCAACCUGGGAACUGCAUUUGUGACUGCACAGCUGGAGUGCGGCAGAGGGGGGAUGGAAUUCCGCGUGUAGCAGUGAAAUGCGUAGAUAUGCGGAGGAACACCGAUGGCGAAGGCAAUCCCCUGGGCCUGCACUGACGCUCAUGCACGAAAGCGUGGGGAGCAAACAGG
This 254-nucleotide ribosomal RNA is filed under the name uncultured bacterium. RNAcentral describes it as "partial 16S ribosomal RNA". It matches the Rfam family "Bacterial small subunit ribosomal RNA", at positions 524 to 776 of the family's 1533-position model. The record is from RNAcentral.